RNAcentral lists this transfer RNA (75 nucleotides) under Planctomycetia bacterium. RNAcentral's name for it is "tRNA-Val". It matches the Rfam family "tRNA". Rfam says of the family: Transfer RNA (tRNA) molecules are approximately 80 nucleotides in length. Their secondary structure includes four short double-helical elements and three loops (D, anti-codon, and T loops). The record is from RNAcentral. RNAcentral also lists the same sequence under 2 other names. Lineage: Bacteria; Pseudomonadati; Planctomycetota; Planctomycetia.
GAGCGAUUAGUUCAGUUUGGUUAGAACGCCAGCUCGACAAGCUGGAGGUCAUUGGUUCGAGUCCAAUAUCGCUCA